RNAcentral lists this ribosomal RNA (217 nucleotides) under Ammodytes hexapterus (Pacific sand lance). RNAcentral describes it as "partial 16S ribosomal RNA". The record is from RNAcentral. Lineage: Eukaryota; Metazoa; Chordata; Actinopteri; Uranoscopiformes; Ammodytidae.
AUGGAGCUUUAGACGCCAAGACAGACCAUGUUAAACACCUCCCCAUAAGGAGCCCAAACCAAAUGGUCCCUGCCCUAGUGUCUUUGGUUGGGGCGACCGCGGGGAAACAUAAAACCCCCAUGUGGAAUGGGAGCACCCUCUCCUACAACUAAGAGCUACAGCUCUAAUGAACAGAAUUUCUGACCAACAAGAUCCGGCAAUGCCGAUCAACGGACCG